GAGAUUAAUGUGUAUGUGGGGUAAACCUACCUGGGUAGUAGUAUGGUAAGGACUGGCCUCUCAAAGGAGGUAGUAUUUAAACUAAGGGGCCAAAAGGUAGCAGAUGAAGUCAGAAGCAAGGGCCAAACCUCAGAGCACCUUCUGGUCAUGCUGAGGAUUGGCUAAUCCUACCGCCAUUCCAGUCCUGUGGCACCUUGGAUCUGCUAAUGGAACCAGCUUGCAUGACAAU
Pan paniscus (pygmy chimpanzee) is the source of this 229-nucleotide long non-coding RNA. NCBI's taxonomy places the organism in Eukaryota, Metazoa, Chordata, Mammalia, Primates, Hominidae. The record is from Ensembl.